Molecule: long non-coding RNA, 3382 nt
Organism: Tympanuchus pallidicinctus (lesser prairie-chicken)
Lineage: Eukaryota; Metazoa; Chordata; Aves; Galliformes; Phasianidae
Exons: 2
Source: RefSeq, a predicted model, not a curated record
UGGCCGCCCCGAGGGGUCGCGGUGAUCCCGGGCACCGCGGCCGAGAGCCGGCUGCGCCCUGGGCCCUUUUCCUACCCCAGGGGUCGGGAAGAGGCUGGAAGCGCCGCAGCACGCCGCGCCGUGCCGUGCCGUGCCCAGCCGGGGUGUCGUGCUGGAUGCGACGGGCCGGGGACGGCGGGGUCGGCUGGCGAGGAGGGCUGUGCUGCACAGCACGUGGUGCUUUGCAGCCGAAGGACGUGAACGGACUGAGAGGAGUGCUCGAGAGGCAUCGCCCGCUGAGCGCCUCCAGUGCUGCCCAGCCCAGCCCCAGCAGCACCCUGUGCUGAGGCUCCAAAGUGGGACACAGUGAAAACAGAAUAUAUGAUUUGAUGAUGGAAAUUCAUCCGCUGACCCAGCCCGACUCCUGCCUGCAGUUCGCGGUGGUUGUUGUGGGCAGUGUGAUUUGGAGAACACACUGUGCUGCUGACAACGGGAGCAAUUGCACGCCCUCGUGUUCUCACCUGGCUCCCUCCCAUCACAAGUUCUGUUCCUGGGUGUCCCCAGGGCGUGCUUACACCAGUAAGGAAAUCCCAUUAGCCUCUACAGAAAGCAGAAUUAAGUCCUGGCUAUUUCCAGACCCUUUGGGGUUCAGGACGUGACACCCUGUGAGCACAGGACACGUCACCUGCACCUCACCUGCAGCCGCCAUUCUGCCCCAUCCUUGGGCUCACAGCCCUUCCCAUCUGCUCUGAAAUAAUCAAAUUUGGGGCUCUAUUUGAGGGACCGUGACAGCAUCCCUAAGCAAGCAGUCCCCUGCUGAGGCCCACAGGGCCCUCCCUUCGUGGACUGCAGACAGCUCAGCCCUGGACCUCAUGGAGCGGCCAUCAUCACCCACAGCAUGCUGGCAGGGCCUGCGACCUCAGACACGGGUCUGUAAAGCCCCAGAGGAGACAUGUGUGACUGUUACGUGCUUACCUUAGAAUGAACGUUAGCUGGAAUCAGGAAGAGCACCACGCAAAUGAAGCUGCCUGCUUCCAGUGCCUGUACUAGGCAACAGCAGCAAACAAAAGAAAGCAAUGAGGAAAUUAAAGGAAUAACAAGUUCAGCUGGCUUCCACCGCACACCGGUGGGGAGGUGAGCAGAAUCCUGCCUGGCUGCAGCUCCCCAGGGGCCAGUGUCCAUCUCCUGGCCUGUGGCCUGCAGGAAGGCUCAUGACCAGCAAGGAGCAACUGCUUGGGAUCUGGGGCUGCUCACCUGUGGUGCACAGCAGUGAUUUUAGGGACUCUGUGAAGCAGCCCUGAAGCUGGAAACUGAAGGACAGGCUUUCCUUGGAUGUGGUUGUUUGAGGGAAUUCCCCUGCCCUCAGGAGCCUGGGCCAGGGCUUUAUCAGAUGAAGUACGAGAUUGCCAUUGUAAAUUUUCCUGUGGGAUUAUUUGGGAUUAUUAAGUAGUUUCCUGGGUUUUGCUGCUGUGGAUGAUUGAUAGCAGAGGAGAUGCGGGGAGCUUCCAGGAACUGGGAAUUUCAUGGUCGGGCCCCAAAGCUGUCAUCCUUUGGGCAGGAGAAAGGUUUCCUGACAGCUGUCUCCCAUCACAGUCCCAGUGACUUGCUGCCUGCUCAAGUUCUGUGGCUUCUGUUGCUUCAGAGUCAACAGCUCAAAGGUGCUCCCAAUCUCUCCCCCAGUUAAGGAGGGAGAAAGGUGCUUUAUACGCCACUCACCAUCAGCCAGGCCCCUGAGCAUCCCUUACCUGUGUCUCGGGCGGGCUCUGCUCGCCAUGCGCCUGGAGCUGGAGCUGAGCCAUGAGCCAGGACCAGCCCUGUGCUCAGGCAGCAGAGCAGCCCCACAGAUCCGCGCUGCGCCACUUUGUGCGGAGCUCCUCUCAGGUGUGUUUGCUCUUACAGACUUCUCACAGACUGAUGUCACUUCCAGGCACUCCUGGUGGCUCUGCUCUGUCCCACUGAGCACCCGUUGUGAUGGGCUUUGCUGCCAUGUGAGCUUCUCUUGCUAUGCUUCACCCGAAAAACUCAUUUCCAUGGCUGCACUUCGCUCCUGGCAGCUGCUUUGCUGCCCCGCAGACCCUUUAGGUCUCCGCAGGUUGUUCUCAGGGCUUGCCCAGCUGCAACUCUUCCCCUUCUCCGCACACUGUGAAGCCAGCCAGGCCCUUGCCUUAAGGUUUUUCCAUAUACUUUUACCCUGAAAUUUGAAAUCCUAGAAAAGAGGGAACCUUAGGGAGCAGCUAAGGGCCAGCUUCAGGCCAACUUCUCCUAGGAACCACAGUGCUGACACUCUAGUCCCUCAGGGAAUGUUUUCCCAGCAUCUGCUUUGAAUUUCUCCACGAUAAUUUAAGCCUGUUUCCCCUUGUUUUAUUCAGCAUGGGCAGAUUAAUCCCUUCCUCUUUGCAGGAGCCAUUUGCAUUCCUGCAGACGGCUGCUCCAGCCUCCUCUGCUCUCUCCUACCAAUUAAGCAGUCCCACAUCUCGCCGUUUUUCCUUGCCGGUCAUGUUUUCCAGGUCUCUGACAUCCUCCUUGGACUCUCUCCAAGCAGCCCAAAGGGCAGCGUCCAGGCAUCUCUGCCUCCCCCCGCUGCUCCCCGUGCCUCCAGCGCCCGCCAGCAUCCUCUGCUCUGCGUGAUUCUGCAGAACCGCAGCUCCUUUCCCCCAUAUUCAUCUCUUCCUUCUUUCUCCCCAUUUCUUGUUUAUGCAAUUGCCUCUUUGUGCUGAAGUGCCAACGGCAUUUAUCUGUACCACACAGCAUCCUCAUCCCUGAGACCAUUUCUCUGACAUGUCAGCAGUGGAGGCGUGGAGGCUUGCAAUGAAGAGCCUUCUUUCCAACAUGCUUCCCAUCCUCCCUGCCUUCAUAUUUUGUCUGCAGAUUUAAAAGCCAGUCCUGCAUCCUUUUAUCUCACCUGCUGGUAGCCGAAGCCUGGCAGCUUCUAUCUGAGCUGGGAACGGCGCUUGUUUUAUAGCAGGUUUAGGCAGAAUGUGAUCUGUAACUUGUUUAGGAGCCUGUUUUAUGAACGAUGUCGAAAGCCUUACAAGCAUCAAGAUUUAUACUGCCAUUCCAGUCUGUCACAGCAGCAGAUGCCCUUGGUGUGCCACAGCCUGGCCUUUAGCAGCCAUACCAGCAUACAGGGGGCUGUGAUUGGCCACGAACUCAGGGUUUCUCUCACGAGAUCUGUGCUCUGGACCUUUCACUUGCUGUCCCAUCUCACACUGACACCUCAGGCAGGGAGAUCUCCAUCCCCACUGCAUCCUGGCUUUGGCUGAGCCUGCCCAUGGCUCCGGCACAGCCCCUUCCAUGUGCUCUGUAGCUGUGUGGUUGCACAGCAGCCAGGUUCUCCCUGGAGUGCGGAACAAAUGUCUGCAUCCUUAAUAUACAAAGCAACACAUUCCUCCUUAAUCCUUUG